ACUGUGGCACACAGGACACGGACCUUCAUGGAAGUCCUUGCUCUGCGUGGCAUCUGUCA
Molecule: microRNA precursor, 59 nt
Filed under: Macaca mulatta (Rhesus monkey)
Lineage: Eukaryota; Metazoa; Chordata; Mammalia; Primates; Cercopithecidae
Description: microRNA mml-mir-7188 precursor
Source: miRBase by way of RNAcentral